UGCCUCAGUAACGGCGAGUGAAGCGGCAACAGCUCAAAUUUGAAAUCUGGCCUCUUCGGGGUCCGAGUUGUAAUUUGUAGAGGAUGUUUCGGGUACCGCCUCGGUUUAAAUUUCUUGGAACAGAAUGUCAGAGAGGGUGAGAAUCCCGUCUUGGACCGGCGGUAGGGCCCAUGUGAAACUCCUUCGACGAGUCGAGUUGUUUGGGAAUGCAGCUCAAAAUGGGUGGUAAAUUUCAUCUAAAGCUAAAUAUUGGCCAGAGACCGAUAGCGCACAAGUAGAGUGAUCGAAAGAUGAAAAGAACUUUGAAAAGAGAGUUAAACAGUAUGUGAAAUUGUUGAAAGGGAAGCGCUUACAACCAGACUUGAGCGCGGCGGUUCCCCCUUCCUUUUGGUUGGGUUACUCCGCCGUGUCCAGGCCAACAUCGGUUCUGGGGGUCGGUUAAAGGCCUGGGGAAUGUAUCUACUCCUUCGGGGGUAGACUUAUAGCCCCGGGUGUCAUGCGACCACCCGGGACCGAGGAACGCGCUUCGGCUCGGAUGUUGGCGUAAUGGUUGUCAGCGACCCGUCUUGAAACACGGACCAAGGAGUCUAACAUCUAUGCGAGUGUUUGGGUGUCAAACCCGGAACGCGAAAUGAAAGUGAACGGAGGUAGGAAGCCUUUAGGCUGCACUAUCGACCGAUCCUGAUGUCUUCGGAUGGAUUUGAGUAAGAGCAUAGCUGUUGGGACCCGAAAGAUGGUGAACUAUGCCUGAAUAGGGUGAAGCCAGAGGAAACUCUGGUGGAGGCUCGCAGCGGUUCUGACGUGCAAAUCGAUCGUCAAAUUUGGGUAUAGGGGCGAAAGACUAAUCGAACCAUCUGGUAGCUGGUUCCUGCCGAAGUUUCCCUCAGGAUAGCAGUAACGAAAUCAGUUUUAUGAGGUAAAGCGAAUGAUUAGAGGCCUUGGGGUUGAAACAACCUUAACCUAUUCUCAAACUUUAAAUAUGUAAGAAGCCCUUGUUGCUUAAUUGAACGUGGGCAUUUGAAUGUAUCGUUACUAGUGGGCCAUUUUUGGUAAGCAGAACUGGCGAUGCGGGAUGAACCGAACGUGAGGUUAAGGUGCCGGAAUGCACGCUCAUCAGACACCACAAAAGGUGUCAAUGCAUCUAGACAGCCGGACGGUGGCCAUGGAAGUCGGAAUCCGCUUAGGAGUGUGUAACAACUCACCGGCCGAAUGCAUUGGCCCUGAAAAUGGAUGGCGCUUAAGCGUGCUACCUAUACCUCGCCGUUAGGGUUGACAUGAUGCCCUAACGAGUAGGCAGGCGUGGAGGUCCGUGACGAAGCCUUGGGGGUAACCCCGGGUCGAACGACCUCUAGU
RNAcentral lists this ribosomal RNA (1353 nucleotides) under Chaetothyriales sp. FGPPC12. Its description in RNAcentral is "eukaryotic LSU rRNA". It matches the Rfam family "Eukaryotic large subunit ribosomal RNA", at positions 76 to 1443 of the family's 3401-position model. The record is from RNAcentral. Lineage: Eukaryota; Fungi; Ascomycota; Eurotiomycetes; Chaetothyriales.